RNAcentral lists this transfer RNA (75 nucleotides) under Cytophagales bacterium WSM2-2. RNAcentral describes it as "tRNA-Met". It matches the Rfam family "tRNA". Rfam says of the family: Transfer RNA (tRNA) molecules are approximately 80 nucleotides in length. Their secondary structure includes four short double-helical elements and three loops (D, anti-codon, and T loops). Lineage: Bacteria; Pseudomonadati; Bacteroidota; Cytophagia; Cytophagales. The record is from RNAcentral.
GGGCCCUUAGCUCAGCUGGUUAGAGCAUCAGACUCAUAAUCUGAGGGUCGCUGGAUCGUUCCCAGCAGGGCCCAC